GGGGCCAUCCCGGCUUACCAACCCGAUGCAAACUGCGAAUACCGGAGAAUGUUAUCACGGGAGACACACGGCGGGUGCUAACGUCCGUCGUGAAGAGGGAAACAACCCAGACCGCCAGCUAAGGUCCCAAAGUCAUGGUUAAGUGGGAAACGAUGUGGGAAGGCCCAGACAGCCAGGAUGUUGGCUUAGAAGCAGCCAUCAUUUAAAGAAAGCGUAAUAGCUCACUGGUCGAGUCGGCCUGCGCGGAAGAUGUAACGGGGCUAAACCAUGCACCGAAGCUGCGGCAGCGAACGUAUCACUUAAAGCGAUUCAGCGGGUUACGAUUGACGGAGCGAAGCGACGUCAAAGCGUAUACAAAGUCGAGUCGGUUUAAGGAUACGUUCGUUGGGUAGGGGAGCGUUCUGUAAGCCCGUGAAGGUGGCCUGUGAGGGUUGCUGGAGGUAUCAGAAGUGCGAAUGCUGACAUAAGUAACGAUAAAGCGGGUGAAAAGCCCGCUCGCCGGAAGACCAAGGGUUCCUGUCCAACGUUAAUCGGGGCAGGGUGAGUCGACCCCUAAGGCGAGGCCGAAAGGCGUAGUCGAUGGGAAACGGGUUAAUAUUCCCGUACUUGGUGUUACUGCGAAGGGGGGACGGAGAAGGCUAUGUUGGCCGGGCGACGGUUGUCCCGGUUUAAGCGUGUAGGUGUGUGUUCCAGGUAAAUCCGGUUCACUUUAACACUGAGGCGUGAUGACGAGGCACUACGGUGCUGAAGCAACAAAUGCCCUGCUUCCAGGAAAAGCCUCUAAGCAUCAGGUAACAUCAAAUCGUACCCCAAACCGACACAGGUGGUCAGGUAGAGAAUACCAAGGCGCUUGAGAGAACUCGGGUGAAGGAACUAGGCAAAAUGGUGCCGUAACUUCGGGAGAAGGCACGCUGACACGUAGGUGAAGUGAUUUACUCACGGAGCUGAAGUCAGUCGAAGAUACCAGCUGGCUGCAACUGUUUAUUAAAAACACAGCACUGUGCAAACACGAAAGUGGACGUAUACGGUGUGACGCCUGCCCGGUGCCGGAAGGUUAAUUGAUGGGGUCAGCGUAAGCGAAGCUCCUGAUCGAAGCCCCGGUAAACGGCGGCCGUAACUAUAACGGUCCUAAGGUAGCGAAAUUCCUUGUCGGGUAAGUUCCGACCUGCACGAAUGGCGUAAUGAUGGCCAGGCUGUCUCCACCCGAGACUCAGUGAAAUUGAACUCGCUGUGAAGAUG
RNAcentral lists this ribosomal RNA (1239 nucleotides) under Salmonella enterica subsp. enterica serovar Typhimurium. RNAcentral's name for it is "bacterial LSU rRNA". It matches the Rfam family "Bacterial large subunit ribosomal RNA", at positions 923 to 2061 of the family's 2925-position model. The record is from RNAcentral. Lineage: Bacteria; Pseudomonadati; Pseudomonadota; Gammaproteobacteria; Enterobacterales; Enterobacteriaceae.